GGUCCUGUAGCCUAAUGAAUAAGGUGUCGGUCUCCUAAACCGAAGAUUCAAGGUUCCAGUAAUUGUGGGUCGA
RNAcentral lists this transfer RNA (73 nucleotides) under Angiostrongylus costaricensis. It matches the Rfam family "tRNA". From Rfam's summary of the family: Transfer RNA (tRNA) molecules are approximately 80 nucleotides in length. Lineage: Eukaryota; Metazoa; Nematoda; Chromadorea; Rhabditida; Metastrongylidae. The record is from Rfam by way of RNAcentral.